GACGAACGCUGGCGGCGUGCUUAACACAUGCAAGUCGAACGGGCUGCCUGGUUUUCGGAUCGGGUGGUGAGUGGCGAACGGGUGAGUAACACGUGAGUAACCUGCCCCCCUCUUUGGGAUAACGUCGGGAAAUCGGCGCUAAUACCGGGUAUUCUGGCUUCCUCGCAUGGGGUUGUUGGGAAAGGUUUUUUCUGGUGGGGGAUGGGCUCGCGGCCUAUCAGCUUGUUGGUGGGGUGAUGGCCUACCAAGGCGGUGACGGGUAGCCGGCCUGAGAGGGUGUCCGGCCACACUGGGACUGAGACACGGCCCAGACUCCUACGGGAGGCAGCAGUGGGGAAUAUUGCACAAUGGGCGGAAGCCUGAUGCAGCGACGCCGCGUGGGGGAUGACGGCCUUCGGGUUGUAAACCUCUUUCAGUGCAGAACAAGGCUCUUUGUGGGUUGAGGGUAUGCGCAGAAGAAGCGCCGGCUAACUACGUG
This 478-nucleotide ribosomal RNA is filed under the name uncultured bacterium. Its description in RNAcentral is "partial 16S ribosomal RNA". It matches the Rfam family "Bacterial small subunit ribosomal RNA", at positions 28 to 507 of the family's 1533-position model. The record is from RNAcentral.